AGCGAACGCUGGCGGCAGGCUUAACACAUGCGAGUCGAGCGGGCACUUUCGGGUGUCCGCGGCGGACGGGUGCGUAACGCGUGGGAACGUGCCCUCUGGUUCGGAAUAACUCAGGGAAACUUGAGCUAAUACCGGAUACGCCCUUUUGGGGAAAGGCUUGCUGCCGGAGGAUCGGCCCGCGUCUGAUUAGCUAGUUGGUGAGGUAACGGCUCACCAAGGCGACGAUCAGUAGCUGGUCUGAGAGGAUGAUCAGCCACACUGGGACUGAGACACGGCCCAGACUCCUACGGGAGGCAGCAGUGGGGAAUAUUGGACAAUGGGCGCAAGCCUGAUCCAGCCAUGCCGCGUGAGUGAUGAAGGCCCUAGGGUUGUAAAGCUCUUUUAUCCGGGACGAUAAUGACGGUACCGGAGGAAUAAGCCCCGGCUAACUUCGUG
This 435-nucleotide ribosomal RNA is filed under the name uncultured bacterium. Its description in RNAcentral is "partial 16S ribosomal RNA". It matches the Rfam family "Bacterial small subunit ribosomal RNA", at positions 29 to 507 of the family's 1533-position model. The record is from RNAcentral.